This 484-nucleotide ribosomal RNA is filed under the name uncultured bacterium. RNAcentral's name for it is "partial 16S ribosomal RNA". It matches the Rfam family "Bacterial small subunit ribosomal RNA", at positions 28 to 523 of the family's 1533-position model. The record is from RNAcentral.
GACGAACGCUGGCGGCGUGCUUAACACAUGCAAGUCGAACGAUGAAGCCGGAGCUUGCUCUGGUGAAUUAGUGGCGAACGGGUGAGUAACACGUGAGUAACCUGCCCUUGACUCUGGGAUAACUGCUAGAAAUGGUAGCUAAUACCGGAUACGACCCUCGGAGGCAUCCCCAGGGGGUGGAAAGAAUUUCGGUCAAGGAUGGACUCGCGGCCUAUCAGCUAGUUGGUGAGGUAAUGGCUCACCAAGGCGACGACGGGUAGCCGGCCUGAGAGGGUGACCGGCCACACUGGGACUGAGACACGGCCCAGACUCCUACAGGAGGCAGCAGUGGGGAAUAUUGCACAAUGGGCGCAAGCCUGAUGCAGCAACGCCGCGUGAGGGAUGACGGCCUUCGGGUUGUAAACCUCUUUUAGUAGGGAAGAAGCGAAAGUGACGGUACCUGCAGAAAAAGCACCGGCUAACUACGUGCCAGCCGCCGCAGUAA